AUGAACGCUGGCGGCGUGGAUAAGGCAUGCAAGUCGAACGGCAGCGCGGGAGCUUGCUCCUGGCGGCGAGUGGCGAACGGGUGAGUAAUACAUCGGAACGUACCCAGAAGUGGGGGAUAACGUAGCGAAAGUUACGCUAAUACCGCAUAUUCUGUGAGCAGGAAAGUGGGGGAUCGCAAGACCUCACGCUUUUGGAGCGGCCGAUGUCGGAUUAGCUAGUUGGUGAGGUAAAGGCUCACCAAGGCGACGAUCCGUAGCGGGUCUGAGAGGAUGAUCCGCCACACUGGGACGGAGACACGGCCCAGACUCCUACGGGAGGCAGCAGUGGGGAAUUUUGGACAAUGGGGGCAACCCUGAUCCAGCCAUGCCGCGUGAGUGAAGAAGGCCUUCGGGUUGUAAAGCUCUUUCGCGAGGGAAGAAAGCGCACUGGUUAAUACCUGGUGUGGAUGACGGUACCUUGAUAAGAAGCACCGGCUAACUACGUGCCAGCCGCCGCCGUAA
This 501-nucleotide ribosomal RNA is filed under the name uncultured bacterium. RNAcentral describes it as "partial 16S ribosomal RNA". It matches the Rfam family "Bacterial small subunit ribosomal RNA", at positions 29 to 523 of the family's 1533-position model. The record is from RNAcentral.